ACGGAAGGCAGCAGUGGGGAAUAUUGGGCAAUGGGCGGGAGCCUGACCCAGCAACGCCGCGUGAAGGAAGAAGGCUUUCGGGUUGUAAACUUCUUUGACAGGGGAAGAGCAGAAGACGGUACCCUGAAAACAAGCCACGGCUAACUACGUGCCAGCAGCCGCGGUAAUACGUAGGUGGCAAGCGUUGUCCGGAUUUACUGGGUGUAAAGGGCGUGUAGGCGGGUCGAUAAGUCAGAUGUGAAAUCCACGGGCUCAACUUGUGAACUGCAUUUGAAACUGUUGAUCUUGAGUAUCGGAGAGGUAAUCGGAAUUCCUUGUGUAGCGGUGAAAUGCGUAGAUAUAAGGAAGAACACCAGUGGCGAAGGCGGAUUACUGGACGACAACUGACGGUGAGGCGCGAAAGCGUGGGGAGCGAACAGGAUUAGAUACCCUGGUA
Molecule: ribosomal RNA, 436 nt
Filed under: uncultured Oscillibacter sp.
Lineage: Bacteria; Bacillati; Bacillota; Clostridia; Eubacteriales; Oscillospiraceae
Description: bacterial SSU rRNA
Rfam family: Bacterial small subunit ribosomal RNA
Source: RNAcentral